CCUACGGGUGGCUGCAGUGGGGAAUAUUGGACAAUGGGCGAAAGCCUGAUCCAGCCAUGCCGCGUGUGUGAAGAAGGCCUUCGGGUUGUAAAGCACUUUCAGUGGGGAAGAAAGCCUUGGGGCUAAUACCCUCGAGGAAGGACAUCACCCACAGAAGAAGCACCGGCUAACUCCGUGCCAGCAGCCGCGGUAAUACGGAGGGUGCGAGCGUUAAUCGGAAUUACUGGGCGUAAAGCGCGCGUAGGCGGUCUGAUAAGCCGGUUGUGAAAGCCCCGGGCUCAACCUGGGAACGGCAUCCGGAACUGUCAGGCUAGAGUGCAGGAGAGGAAGGUAGAAUUCCCGGUGUAGCGGUGAAAUGCGUAGAGAUCGGGAGGAAUACCAGUGGCGAAGGCGGCCUUCUGGACUGACACUGACGCUGAGAUGCGAAAGCGUGGGUAGCAAACAGGAUUAGAUACCCCUGUAGUC
Molecule: ribosomal RNA, 465 nt
Filed under: Vreelandella stevensii
Lineage: Bacteria; Pseudomonadati; Pseudomonadota; Gammaproteobacteria; Oceanospirillales; Halomonadaceae
Description: partial 16S ribosomal RNA
Rfam family: Bacterial small subunit ribosomal RNA
Source: RNAcentral